GACCCCAUCGUCUAGAGGCCUAGGACAUCGCCCUUUCACGGCGGUAACGCGAGUUCGAAUCUCGCUGGGGUCGCCA
RNAcentral lists this transfer RNA (76 nucleotides) under Alphaproteobacteria bacterium. Its description in RNAcentral is "tRNA-Glu". It matches the Rfam family "tRNA". From Rfam's summary of the family: Transfer RNA (tRNA) molecules are approximately 80 nucleotides in length. Their secondary structure includes four short double-helical elements and three loops (D, anti-codon, and T loops). The record is from RNAcentral. Lineage: Bacteria; Pseudomonadati; Pseudomonadota; Alphaproteobacteria.